Molecule: ribosomal RNA, 521 nt
Filed under: uncultured Glomeraceae
Lineage: Eukaryota; Fungi; Glomeromycota; Glomeromycetes; Glomerales; Glomeraceae
Description: SSU rRNA
Rfam family: Eukaryotic small subunit ribosomal RNA
Source: RNAcentral
AGCAGCCGCGGUAAUUCCAGCUCCAAUAGCGUAUAUUAAAGUUGUUGCAGUUAAAAAGCUCGUAGUUGAAUUUCGGGGUCAAUACGUCGGUCGUGCCUCGGUACGCACUAACGUUAUUGAUUCCUCCCUUCUGACGGACCGUGAUGUCAUUAAUUUGGUGUUGCGGGGAAUCAGGACUGUUACCUUGAAAAAAUUAGAGUGUUUAAAGCAGGCAAUCGCUCGAAUACAUUAGCAUGGAAUAAUGAAAUAGGACGUUCGAACCUAUUUUGUUGGUUUCUAGGAUCGACGUAAUGAUUAAUAGGGAUAGUUGGGGGCAUUAGUAUUCAAUUGUCAGAGGUGAAAUUCUUGGAUUUAUUGAAGACUAACUACUGCGAAAGCAUUUGCCAAGGAUGUUUUCAUUAAUCAAGAACGAAAGUUAGGGGAUCGAAGACGAUCAGAUACCGUCGUAGUCUUAACCAUAAACUAUGCCGACUAGGGAUCGGAUGAUGUUAAUUUUUUAAUGACUCAUUCGGCGCCUUACG